GCGCCGCUAGCUCAACUGGCAGAGCAGGGGACUCUUAAUCCCAAGGUUCUAGGUUCGACUCCUAGGCGGCGCA
Molecule: transfer RNA, 73 nt
Filed under: bacterium
Lineage: Bacteria
Also listed under: 3 other names
Description: tRNA-Lys
Rfam family: tRNA
About the family: Transfer RNA (tRNA) molecules are approximately 80 nucleotides in length.
Source: RNAcentral